UACGUAGGCAGCGAGCGUUGUUCGGAGUUACUGGGCGUAAAGAGUGCGUAGGCGGUUUGUCGCGUCGAAUGUGAAAACCCGGGGCUCAACCCCGGGCCUGCAUUCGAUACGGGCAGACUAGAGUUCGGUAGGGGAGUCUGGAAUUCCUGGUGUAGCGGUGAAAUGCGCAGAUAUCAGGAGGAACACCGGUGGCGAAGGCGGGACUCUGGGCCGAUACUGACGCUGAGGAGCGAAAGCGUGGGGAGCAAACAGG
RNAcentral lists this ribosomal RNA (253 nucleotides) under uncultured bacterium. RNAcentral describes it as "partial 16S ribosomal RNA". It matches the Rfam family "Bacterial small subunit ribosomal RNA", at positions 524 to 776 of the family's 1533-position model. The record is from RNAcentral.